UGUUCUAAUCUCUCAUACGUUCGUCCGUGAGUGUGGUGCAAGGUGCGAUGAUGGUGCUGAGAAUUAUCUGCUUGUGUGUGUAUGCUUGGGUGAGCCGGCCUGGCGUACGCUACGGUGCUGCUGCUGCUGCGAGUCAACCUGGCGUAAAACAACUCGACCAAGUCGCGGCCGACGUCCUACAACAUCUCGUGGGUAGGCUCCCGCCCGCGGUGGUGCUUCUCGUCGUCGUCCGGGGCCAACAGCAGGCGCCCGCGGUGGCGGCGGUGCAGGCGCUAGGCGACGCUGCGGUAGCGCCGCAGGCUGCUCCGGUCGCUCCACUUCUUCCGCGAGCGGUACCGGCGCCGGCGGCCGCUGUGCCGGUCCCGAGGGAAGAACCGGCG
RNAcentral lists this ribosomal RNA (380 nucleotides) under Triticum aestivum (bread wheat). RNAcentral's name for it is "partial small subunit ribosomal RNA". Lineage: Eukaryota; Viridiplantae; Streptophyta; Magnoliopsida; Poales; Poaceae. The record is from RNAcentral.